RNAcentral lists this transfer RNA (70 nucleotides) under Cleridae sp. 3 KM-2017. Its description in RNAcentral is "tRNA-Lys". Lineage: Eukaryota; Metazoa; Arthropoda; Insecta; Coleoptera; Cleridae. The record is from RNAcentral.
CAUUAGAUAACUUAAAGUAAGUGCUGGUCUCUUAAACCAUAAAAUAGUAAAUUUACGAAUACUUCUAAUG